Molecule: unclassified non-coding RNA, 358 nt
Filed under: soil metagenome
Description: partial contains 5.8S ribosomal RNA, internal transcribed spacer 2, and large subunit ribosomal RNA
Rfam family: 5.8S ribosomal RNA (bases 1-120)
Source: RNAcentral
GAUGAAGAACGCAGCGAAAUGCGAUAAGUAAUGUGAAUUGCAGAAUUCAGUGAAUCAUCUAAUCUUUGAACGCACAUUGCGCCCGUCAGUAUUCUGGCGGGCAUGCCUGUUCGAGCGUCAUUACGCCCCUCAAGUCCCCUGUGGACUUGGUGUUGGGGAUCGGCGAGGCUGGUUUUCCAGCACAGCCGUCCCUUAAAUUAAUUGGCGGUCUCGCCGUGGCCCUCCUCUGCGCAGUAGUAAAACACUCGCAACAGGAGCCCGGCGCGGUCCACUGCCGUAAAACCCCCCAACUUUUUAUAGUUGACCUCGAAUCAGGUAGGACUACCCGCUGAACUUAAGCAUAUCAAUAAGCGGAGGA